AACCUGGUUGAUCCUGCCAGUAGUCAUAUGCUUGUCUCUAGGACUAAGCCAUGCACGUAUAAGUGUAAGCGAUUUACAGUGAAACUGCGAAUGGCUCAUUAAAUCAGUAAUAGUCUCUUUGAUGGAAGCCGCUACAUGGAUAACCGUAGAAAAUCUAGAGCUAAUACACGCCAAGGAGUCAUGGCCUAGCAUUUUUGCUGGGGCGUGCGGUAUUUAUUAGAGGCCAAGACGAUGGCGCACUUGUGUGUCUUCUUUGGUGAGUCAUGAUAACUGUACGAAUCGAGGGCUUGUUCGCAAGCGUCGAUGGUUCAUUCGAAUUUCUGCCCUAUCAACUUUCGAUGGUAAGAUAGAGGCUUACCAUGGUGGUUACGGGUGACGGCGAAUGGGGGUUCUAUUCCGGAGAGGGGGCCUGAGAAACGGCCACCACUUCCAAGGAAGGCAGCAGGCGCGCAAAUUACCCAAUGGCGACACGCCGAGGUAGUGACGAACAAUAACGAUGGGACCCCCUUUGGGGGCCCCAAUUGGAAUGAGUACAAAGUACAAGCCUUAACGAGGAACAAUUGGAGGGCAAGUCUGGUGCCAGCAGCCGCGGUAAUUCCAGCUCCAAUAGCGUAUAUUAAAGCUGUUGCGGUUAAAAAGCUCGUAGUUGGAUUUGAGUCUAGUUGCGGCCGGGCUCAGGGCUUUGACUCUGGGGCGGGCGUGUAGACUGUAUGCGCGCGGGGAGGGGCAGGGAAUUUUCUCUGCUUUCUCGUGUGCUUUACUUUGAACAAAUUAGAGUGUUUAAAGCAGGCAUUUUUUGCCUUGAAUACAUUAGCAUGGAAUAACGAUUUUGACUGGAGCAGGCAUGAUGUUGUCUUGAUGACUGCGCAGUAAUGAUGGAUAGGGACGGUCGGGGACAUUCGUAUUGCUCCGUCAGAGGUGAAAUUCUUAGAUUGGAGGAAGACGAGCUGAUGCGAAAGCCUUUGUCAAGGACGUUUUCAUUGAUCAAGAACGAAAGUUAGGGGAUCGAAGACGAUCAGAUACCGUCGUAGUCUUAACCAUAAACGAUGCCGACCAGGGAUUGGGGAAGGCAGUAGACUUUCUCACGACUUCCCCAGCACCUUAUGAGAAGUCUGAGUGUUCGGGUUCCGGGGGGAGUAUGGUCGCAAGGCUGAAACUUAAAGGAAUUGACGGAAGGGCACCACCAGGAGUGGAGCCUGCGGCUUAAUUUGACUCAACACGGGGAAACUUACCAGGCCCAGACAUAGCGAGGAUUGACAGAUUGAGAGCUCUUUCUUGAUUCUAUGGAUGGUGGUGCAUGGCCGUUCUUAGUUCGUGGAGUGAUUUGUCUGCUUAAUUGCGAUAACGAACGAGACCUUGGGGGGUUGCUGCGCGAGGGCGCUACUUGUUAGCGGCCCGUGCUCCUACUCCUACUGCUGCGUGUUGUAACCAGAGGAAGUUUGAGGCUAUAACAGGUCUGUGAUGCCC
Molecule: ribosomal RNA, 1467 nt
Filed under: Amastigomonas sp. SR1 9H Thailand
Lineage: Eukaryota; Apusomonadida; Apusomonadidae
Description: SSU rRNA
Rfam family: Eukaryotic small subunit ribosomal RNA
Source: RNAcentral